UAGUCCACGCCGUAAACGAUGGAUACUAGGUGUCCGGGAUAUUAACCUCCUGGGUACUACAGUUAACGCGUUAAGUAUCCCGCCUGGGGAGUACGGCCGCAAGGUUAAAACUCAAAUGAAUUGACGGGGGCCCGCACAAGCGGUGGAGCAUGUGGUUUAAUUCGAUGCAACGCGAAGAACCUUACCUACUCUUGACAUCCAGAGAAUUCGCUAGAGAUAGCUUAGUGCCUUCGGGAACUCUGAGACAGGUGCUGCAUGGCUGUCGUCAGCUCGUGUUGUGAAAUGUUGGGUUAAGUCCCGCAACGAGCGCAACCCUUAUCCUUAUUUGCCAGCACGUAAUGGUGGGAACUUUAGGGAGACUGCCGGUGAUAAACCGGAGGAAGGUGGGGACGACGUCAAGUCAUCAUGGCCCUUACGAGUAGGGCUACACACGUGCUACAAUGGUCGGUACAGAGGGUUGCGAAGCCGCGAGGUGGAGCUAAUCUCACAAAGCCGGUCGUAGUCCGGAUCGGAGUCUGCAACUCGA
RNAcentral lists this ribosomal RNA (526 nucleotides) under uncultured bacterium. RNAcentral's name for it is "bacterial SSU rRNA". It matches the Rfam family "Bacterial small subunit ribosomal RNA", at positions 791 to 1315 of the family's 1533-position model. The record is from RNAcentral.